Molecule: ribosomal RNA, 582 nt
Filed under: uncultured Bacteroidota bacterium
Lineage: Bacteria; Pseudomonadati; Bacteroidota
Description: bacterial SSU rRNA
Rfam family: Bacterial small subunit ribosomal RNA
Source: RNAcentral
UUCCUACGGGAGGCAGCAGUGAGGAAUAUUGGACAAUGGGCGAGAGCCUGAUCCAGCCAUGCCGCGUGCAGGAAGACUGCCCUAUGGGUUGUAAACUGCUUUUAUACGGGAAGAAACACCUCCACGCGUGGGGGCUUGACGGUACCGUAAGAAUAAGGAUCGGCUAACUCCGUGCCAGCAGCCGCGGUAAUACGGAGGAUCCAAGCGUUAUCCGGAAUCAUUGGGUUUAAAGGGUCCGUAGGUGGACGGUUAAGUCAGAGGUGAAAUCCUGCAGCUCUACUGUAGAAUUGCCUUGAUACUGGUCGUCUUGAGUCAUUGUGAAGUGGUUGGAAUAUGUAGUGUAGCGGUGAAAUGCAUAGAUAUUACAUAGAACACCGAUUGCGAAGGCAGAUCACUAACAAUGUACUGACACUGAUGGACGAAAGCGUGGGGAGCGAACAGGAUUAGAUACCCUGGUAGUCCACGCCGUAAACGAUGGUCACUAGCUGUUCGAACUUCGGUUUGAGUGGCUAAGCGAAAGUGAUAAGUGACCCACCUGGGGAGUACGUUCGCAAGAAUGAAACUCAAAGGGAAUUGACGGAA